UACAAGCGUAAAUUUGCUAUAGUUUCUCGGAAAUUCUAUCGAAAACGUCUAAAUCACAUAGAAAUCCACGUCUUUCAUCGUCUUGCACAGUUUGUCUUUCUUAUGCCGUAGACUGAACAUGCGUAAACUUGCUGCAGUUUCUCGGAAAUUCUAUUUUCGUUUUGAUAUAAUGACCUUCGACAUUUGCCUUUGUCACCCAGACGAUAACGGUGUACGUCAACUACCACUGAUAUUGUUAGAGUAGGUAAUAGAGGCUAUCGCUAUCACGAAUUGGUAUAUCAGAUGGUUGGAGAUGUUGUUGAUAUAGGGAUGCAUUCUGUUGGACCAUAUGAUCCAGAGAUAGUGUUGGACAUUUAUAUAAAUUAUGCCAAACUUUUUCAAAAUUUAUAUGAGGAAAUGAGUCAUGGGAUGGUUUACGAACACCAACAUGGUGGAUUUCGGUUUUAUCUUAAUUUAGUUGAGAGCUAUAUACGGAGCCAACAUUUAUACGUAAGGAAUAAAGAAUCGUGGACAACCUUGACGGAUCGAACGAUUAUUUUUGAUAUUUUGAGAGAAGGAUCCAUUUACUUGAACUUUACUUUUCAAAUUUUUAAACAGUAUUGUAACCCAAUUUACAAUGUCAUUUGGAAAAUUCAUAUGUUUUAGUAGGGUUUUUAUAUAAUUGUGUUCAAUACGGUCAAAGGCUUUUUUCCUAAUCAAACGAUAAGAUAUAGGCAUUAGUUUCAUGUGUGUCUAAAUAAUUUAGGAUUGAAUCAAUUAAAUACAGGUUAUCGAAGGUGCUUUUAUUUGGUCCGGCUCCCGUUUGUGUUUUAGAGAUCAAUUUGUUAAUAACUGUGUUCAUUCAUAUACUUAAUAUUUUUGUGAUGAUUUUAUAGUCGACACAUAACAGGCUUAUUGGUCUAUAGUUCUUAAGUAAUCGGUGGUCGCCUCUAUUCUUAUAGACAAACAAUUUAUUCUUAUAAUUAAUUAUUAUUAUACCGGUUCUCAUUGGGUUAGAUAAUUCACCCUGUUGAUAGAUGUUGUUUAUUACUUCUGUCAGGUCGGUUCCUAUGGUGUCAAAGAAUUUGAUAUAGAAAUCUCCUGGAAUACCGUCGAUGCCUGGGCUACGGUUUGAUCUGAAACUUUGUAAGGCCUUAAGAUCUUCAUCUUUAGAUAUGAAAUGAGACAGGGAAUCUCUUUCCGUGUUAGUUAGAGUAUUUAUGUUACUGUUUUCAAUAUAGGAGUUUAUUAGGUUUUCGUCAAUGUAUAUAGUUGUUGGUAAUAUUGGUGAAUUGUGUCUAGAAUAUCUUGUUCAUUAUCAAAUACUGUAUUAUUUUGAUUGAUUAAUUGUUUAAUUUGCUUUUUAGCACCGUUUUUGACCUCAGCUAAUUUAUAUAUUUUAGAAUAUCGUAACCUUGUAUUGUAUUUUGUUCUAUUAUUUCGAUUUUUGUUUGAAUUUCAUGCAUUGAGUUAGUAUUCAUAGGUAGUAUGGAAGUAGAUCAACUUAUAGUGUGAUAUAUAUUGAGACUAUAUUUAUGUUAUAUAUAUGAAUGCAUAUCUAGCACUAUGCAUAUCUAGCGGUGUAUUAUGAAUGUAUGUUAUAUUAAAGGACGACGGAUAUUGUUAGUGUUGGUGACACGGGCUACUCCUAGAUCUAUCUUUAUAAUAGUAUUAACAUGUCACGUUUAGAUUAUAUUUAGAGAGAAAGAUAGAUAGAUAUGGGGUUAAGUGGAGGGAAACCGCAGUUCAGGACCCGGAAAAACCCACGAGAUUCGUUGACACGUAUAUGCGGGGAACCUACUCCAUGCAGAUUGACUCUAUGUAUAUGAUAGACCAGGAAAAAACCCACGAGGGUGGACAGGCUACCCUAUUCUGUGUCACGUACAUGCGGGGAACCGAGUCCACGCCAAUUGACUCUAUGAUAGACGUUACUCACUGAGCCAUCGCGACUCCCUUGAUAAUAUAAUACUUGACAUAAUACCAAGGUUAAUUUACGUCCGCUUCCAUUGAGUUGAUACCGUAGACAAUAAAUCAAUGUCUAAGUAUUCUGAUAAUAACAUAUUGAUGUCAGGGAAUUAAGUUCGAUUCUCGAGAAGAACCUUGAGGUUUGUCAAGCCUGAGUUUCACCUGUCAGGGGUAUAACGUCCAUUGGGCUGACUAGUCCUUCGGAUGGUUCCUACGUGUAUACAUUGGCGUGCACGUAAAAUACAUUCGAUGAAACGCCGCUGUCAGGGCAAAAUUCUUCUCAUUAGCAUAACAUCCCUUAAUAACAGAAUAAAAAGCCGGUAGUAUUGUGUUGUGUUAACGAAAUGUUAAAUUACAUUCCUAUUUUAUUUUGUGGUUAUAUGACUAAAACGUCAGUUAUAUCAAGAUAAGCCAGAAUAUUUUAAAGAUACUUCACCGUAUACAAACCGUUCGAUCAAGAAAUAACAACCUCUCCCUCAGUUAAACUAGCAUACAAUAAGCCGUCGUGUUGGCUCCCUCAGUUAAACUAGCAUACAAUGAGCCGUCGGGUUGGCAGUUAGUGAUACCCUGGCAUUUUUGUACAGUUCCUGUUUUUCGCGUAAUCCAGUAUUUUUCUAGUAAGAUUGGGCGUCUAAGCUUUUCAUAUAUAUCAUGUCAUACUUUUACUGGGAAUAACCACCUGAUAAAUAUAUUUGUGACAAUGUAUCUUUAAUAUCCAUGUGGUUGAAGCGGAUAUUUAGUUGAGAGAUUAAUUCUCCAAAUAUUGCGGGAGGUUGCGUGACCGAAAGGUUAACGCAUGCGCGUUGGAUCAUAAGGUCUGCAAUGAGUCAAGUGGUGUGGUUUCGAUUCCCCGCUUGUACGGGACAAGAAGUAGGGCCCAUCCUCUUAAUUUUGCUCCCACUUCUAAAGACCCAUACGCAUAAGCGAAUCAUUUACAUAAAAUUGAAAAAUAUGUUAAUAACGAAACUCUCUCUCUCUCUCUCUCUCUUUCUCUCUCUCUUAUUAAGGUGAAUAAUUUCUGUACAUGUUAACUAUUACCUACAUCCUAUAUUAUUUAUAUUAUAUGAACUAUUAUAGAUGGCCAAUUACUACUAAACCAAGCAUAUCAUAGUAUGAUGUACUAUUAAUAUUAUAUGAACUAUAAUAGAUGGCCAAUUAAUACUAAACCCAGCAUAUCAUUGGUUUAUAGUGGAGAAUAAUUAACAUCAAAGUUUACUGUAUUACAAGAUAUGAUGGGAAUUAUUAAUGUCUAUAAUCAGUAUAUUUCAAGUGAAAUGAAAUGAAAUGGAUUUUAACGUCCUACUGUUCAGCUCAGACUGGGCUAAUGCAGUGUGCUAUGAGAUAAAUUUUGUUCGGACAGAGGCUCUACGGCCUACUCUUAUUUCCAAUUCCAACUCUCAAGGGUUCUUUUAUGUGCAUGCCAAUAUGUACAAUGGACCUCACCUUGGUGUUUCAUCCCAUCCAAAGGACUAUACGUUGUCCUACAUCACUGACAGGUUAGCGAGUUAACGUCUUACUCACUGAGCCACCGUGGCUCCCAUGUGGAAUGAAUCAGAAUUGUAACAAAGGUUAACCUAAGCUAUAUUGUACAAGUGAUGUAAUUAUUUAUAAUGGGUAUAACGAACAUCUAUUCAAGUGAAAUGAAUCAACAUUAAAACACCUGCUAUCAUUAGACGAGUAAUAUAGUAUUUUAUGACUAAACGAAGUGUCAUAACAUAUAAUUGAUUGAUCAAUAGUAGAGGUCUAAUA
Molecule: long non-coding RNA, 3693 nt
Organism: Patella vulgata (common limpet)
Lineage: Eukaryota; Metazoa; Mollusca; Gastropoda; Patellidae
Exons: 4
Source: RefSeq, a predicted model, not a curated record